AGAACGAACGCUGGCGGCAUGCCUAACACAUGCAAGUCGAACGAACCCUUCGGGGUUAGUGGCGCACGGGUGCGUAACGCGUGGGAAUCUGCCCUUAGGUACGGAAUAACUCAGGGAAACUUGUGCUAAUACCGUAUGAUGUCGAGAGACCAAAGAUUUAUCGCCUAGGGAUGAGCCCGCGUAGGAUUAGCUAGUUGGUGGGGUAAAGGCCUACCAAGGCUACGAUCCUUAGCUGGUCUGAGAGGAUGAUCAGCCACACUGGGACUGAGACACGGCCCAGACUCCUACGGGAGGCAGCAGUGGGGAAUAUUGGACAACGGGCGAAAGCCUGAUCCAGCAAUGCCGCGUGAGUGAAGAAGGCCUUCGGGUUGUAAAGCUCUUUUACCCGGGAAGAUAAUGACUGUACCGGGAGAAUAAGCCCGGCUAACUCCGUGCCAGCAGCCGC
Molecule: ribosomal RNA, 445 nt
Filed under: uncultured bacterium
Lineage: Bacteria
Description: SSU rRNA
Rfam family: Bacterial small subunit ribosomal RNA
Source: RNAcentral